CUUAGCGUCUAUGGCAUCGCUUGAGGUCAAGAGCCCGCGCCGAGCCUAAUGGCGAUCAGGGGCGAUGGAAAGCUGGCGGUGAUCUGGCCUCCCCGCAGAAAGGCUUCCGAGAACGGCCUGGAGCAGGAGGAGCGGAAGCCUUGAGGUUAGAGCAGGCUGGGAUCCCCGGCCGAAAGUAACAUGCCCGUCAGAGGACCGGACAAGAGGAGCCCACGCGUGCUCUCGGGAUAAGCAGACGUCCCGAAGAGGGACCCGCGGUCUGCGCUAGGGAAGAUGAAGCCUACCAGCCCAUCCUUGAACUUCAUUUUGUGAAACUGAUUCGUUUCUGCUACAAAACUGUUAUUUUCCAUUGGCAAAUACCACUACAACCACCUAACCAAUGAAACGGUCCAGCCCUUCUGCACCCAACUGGAAACCGAGCGAGCCUCUCCGUCCGGUCUUGACCGGGGUCACCGUCUCGGCUUCCCCAUCCCCCAAUAAAGUCCCUUCUUGCUGGGCA
Molecule: long non-coding RNA, 499 nt
Organism: Myotis davidii
Lineage: Eukaryota; Metazoa; Chordata; Mammalia; Chiroptera; Vespertilionidae
Exons: 3
Source: RefSeq, a predicted model, not a curated record